Long non-coding RNA from Mastomys coucha (southern multimammate mouse), 457 nucleotides. RefSeq lists it as uncharacterized. The record is from RefSeq and is a predicted model, not a curated record. NCBI's taxonomy places the organism in Eukaryota, Metazoa, Chordata, Mammalia, Rodentia, Muridae. The transcript is spliced from 3 exons.
UGGAACUAUCUUUCAGGGUUGCCUGAAUCUGGGUCUCCCAGCCAUGGUCACUUUUAUUUGGCUCUGAUAAACUCCAUUCCUUUGAAGGAAGAGGUUAUGUCAAUUUAAUUUAGCUCAGCAAAAGAAGCCAUUUCUCCAUUCUCAGGACAUGUUUACAUCCACAUUUGGGCAAUUAUGAGGAAACCUGCUAUAUUUGGGGUAUCAACCAAGGCCUAAACAUUCUUUCCUUGGCACUCUGUACCCUCCCACUGUUUCUUUGAAGACUCCCUUCAUUCCUUUUACCCUCACCCUCUCCCAACACAUCCUUCCUGAAGUGGCUUGCCAACCUCUGUGUCUUAACAUAAAGCCAAGACUUUUUCUCGUCUCCCUCCAACCCCCCAGCAGCGGUUGAAUUUUCAGUUGGCCUUCCCUAUUGUUUUUUUCUCCAACUCUAAUAAAAAUGGUUCUCAAAUUCCAC